This 557-nucleotide ribosomal RNA is filed under the name uncultured bacterium. RNAcentral's name for it is "bacterial SSU rRNA". It matches the Rfam family "Bacterial small subunit ribosomal RNA", at positions 9 to 545 of the family's 1533-position model. The record is from RNAcentral.
GAGUUUGAUCCUGGCUCAGAUUGAACGCUGGCGGCAGGCCUAACACAUGCAAGUCGAGCGGCAGCGACAACAUUGAACCUUCGGGGGAUUUGUUGGGCGGCGAGCGGCGGACGGGUGAGUAAUGCUUGGGAAUAUGCCUUAUGGUGGGGGACAACAGUUGGAAACGACUGCUAAUACCGCAUGAUGUCUACGGACCAAAGUGGGGGACCUUCGGGCCUCACGCCAUAAGAUUAGCCCAAGUGGGAUUAGCUAGUUGGUGAGGUAAUGGCUCACCAAGGCGACGAUCCCUAGCUGGUUUGAGAGGAUGAUCAGCCACACUGGGACUGAGACACGGCCCAGACUCCUACGGGAGGCAGCAGUGGGGAAUAUUGCACAAUGGGCGCAAGCCUGAUGCAGCCAUGCCGCGUGUGUGAAGAAGGCCUUCGGGUUGUAAAGCACUUUCAGUAAGGAGGAAAGGUUAGUCACUAAUAUUGGCUAGCUGUGACGUUACUUACAGAAGAAGCACCGGCUAACUCCGUGCCAGCAGCCGCGGUAAUACGGAGGGUGCGAGCGUUAAU